This is a non-coding RNA of Cricetulus griseus (Chinese hamster), 1605 nucleotides long. The record is from RefSeq and is a predicted model, not a curated record. Lineage: Eukaryota; Metazoa; Chordata; Mammalia; Rodentia; Cricetidae.
CUGCAGGACGGACUCCUUUGUCGCCUCCCUUCACUUCCACAUCUCACCCAUGGCAGGAUGCAGCCACUGUCCUCAGGUAAACUAGGACAGCUGCUGCGGCCCCUCACCCUCGGCGGGCAUCUCUGCAAGCACAACAGACUAAAGGGAUUUGGCCAAGACCCACAUUAGGAGACACUUGAGAGUGUUGAGUUUGAUCAGAUGGCAAUCAUCCGGAUCCCAGAAAGCUGGAGCAGGAGCUGGAGGGAAAUAUUUUCUCUUUCCUGAUUUGGGUCCUGCUACCUUCUCAUUGGGUCUCAUUACUUUUCAGUUCUGGGAGGUUUUGUUGUAUCUUAAGGUCUUCCUCUCAACGCAGCUUUAAUAUGCCAAGCUCUGCACCUUAGGACAGCAAGGGCGAAAGUACGGGGGAAAUAAGUGUUGGCAAGGUGGGAAAUACUCAAAUUUCUCUGUGAUGAAAAUGGUAUUGCUGCUGUGGAAAACAAAAUGGUGACUCCGCUGAGAAGUUACUUUGGGUCGCCAUAUGAUUCAGCAAUUAUCAUGUUGUGGUGUCUUAAAGUAGAAUGGCUCCCAUACGCUCAUAUAUUCGAAUACUUUGAAUGUCACCAGGGAGUGGCGCUGUUUGAAAGGAUUAGAAGGAUUGGGCGGUGUGGCCUUGUUGGAGGAAGUAUGUCACUUGGGAAUGGGCUCUUAAGUUUCAAAAGGCCCAUUACGGACCCAGUCUCUCUUUCACUCUGCUUGCGGAUCGGAUGGAUCUCUCAGCUACUUCACCAACAAGAUGCUUUCCACCACCCCCUCUGUGAUGAUAAUGGACUAAGCCUCUAAAACUACCAAGCCCCCAAUUAAAUGCAGUACUUUGUAAUAGUUGCCAUGGUCAUGGUAUACUAGUGUUUAAAAUAGCACCAUCGGACUGGCAAGAUGGCUCAGGAGGUAAUGGGCUUUGUCAUCAAGUCUGAUAUCCUGAGUUGAAUUCCUAUAAACCACAAGGUGGAAGGAAAGAAACAACUCCCGAAAGUUGUUUUCUGACAUUUGGGCACACACAAACACAUGUAAAAUAAAAUAAUAGCAUUAUUCAUAACAGCCAAAAUAUGGAAACAAUCCAAGUGUCCAUUGACAGCCAAUUGGAUGACUGAACAGGAACUCAUUCCUCUGGAAGCUAGGAAGUCUAAGAUCAAGGCAUGAGCAGAUUCCCUCUUUGCUGAGCACCUGUUUCCUGAUAGACCCAUGGAAGGGUCUAGUCAUGCUCGGGAGAGUCCUCUGUUAGGGCACUGAACUCAGCUGUGAGGACUCUACUCUCAAGACCCAAGCACUUUCUGGAUUUCUCCAUUCAUAAUAACAUCACUGCUGUUAUUUGGUUAAGUGUCCCCCAAGGUCCAUGUGGUUACACCUUGGUCCCUAGCAUGGUACUAUUGAUAGCUGGUAGAACAUUUAAAUGAUGAAACCUAGCUGUUAGACUUCAAGGUAUUAGGUAGAGACCUUGAACAUGUUAGUGACAUCCCAGUUCCUGCUUUACUGUCAUGGGGUGAGAGAUUUCACUCUGCUAUUUGAUGGGGAAGUCCUUCUGUGUGUAUGUUUCUUAUUGGUUGAUAAAUAAAGUACUGUUGGCCAAUA